Molecule: non-coding RNA, 662 nt
Filed under: Monodelphis domestica (gray short-tailed opossum)
Lineage: Eukaryota; Metazoa; Chordata; Mammalia; Didelphimorphia; Didelphidae
Description: Eukaryotic small subunit ribosomal RNA
Rfam family: Eukaryotic small subunit ribosomal RNA
Source: Rfam by way of RNAcentral
UACUGAUUCCCACCUCCUUGUAUACCUUUCUGAAGGAGGUGACCGAGUGAGUGCAUCUGCCCUAUAAAAUUUUGCUGGGACUUGUGACAAAUCACUCUUCCCCACAAGGGGAUGUAGUGACAAAAAAUAAUGUAUACAGGAUUCUUUUGAGGCUCUGUAAUUGGAAUGAGUGGAUUUUAAAUUCUUAAUGAGGAUCCAUUGGAGGGAAAGUUGGGUGACCCAGUAACUCCAGGUUCAAUAGUCUAAGUUAGAGUUGCCACAGUUAAAAAGCUCGUAGCUGGAUCUUGGGAUUGAGCUGACUAGUCUACUCUGAGAGUAAUGGCCUAUCCCUAUCCCCUAAUUCUUAGUAACUCCUUAAUAUUAUUAGCUGAGUCCCAUAGGGCCCAAAGCCUUCCUUUACUUUGAAAAGGUUAUAGUAUUCAAAGCAGGCCCAAGUUGUCUAGAUAUCCCAGCCAGGAAAAAUGGAAUAGAGACCCCAGUUCUAUUUUGUUCAUUUUGGGGACUGGGACUAAGAGAGACAUGAUUAAGAGAGACAGGCAGAGGCAUUCCUCUUGUGCCACUAGAAGUGAAAUUCUUGUAGCUCCACAAGACCAGAAUGAAAAGUAUUUGCCAAGAAUGUUUCCAUUAACAAAGAAUGAAAAUCAGAGGUUUGAAGAUCAUUC